AUGCGUUCAGAAGCUGAUGCAGACCUUACUACACAUGCUGAAUUCUUCAUCAACAACCUCAAAGAGACAUGGACCCAUGACUACGAAAACUCAAGGGUCCAGAUCAGUCAUUUUCCAAUCGAGUAUGUCGCGACUACGAAGCAAGGAAACUGGCAUGACUAUGGGUUUCACACAUUGGAAUACCUUGCAAAGUGGGAAGGUCGAUGGGUCCCUGUCAUCACAGCUGCAAUGGUCGUUGAGCUUCGCAAAAUAUACACAUGGAACUGGUUGAUGAAUGAAGAUUUCAACACGUGA
RNAcentral lists this ribosomal RNA (294 nucleotides) under Triticum aestivum (bread wheat). RNAcentral describes it as "partial small subunit ribosomal RNA". Lineage: Eukaryota; Viridiplantae; Streptophyta; Magnoliopsida; Poales; Poaceae. The record is from RNAcentral.